AGUGAACGCUGGCGGUAGGCCUAACACAUGCAAGUCGAACGGCAGCACAGUAAGAGCUUGCUCUUACGGGUGGCGAGUGGCGGACGGGUGAGGAAUACAUCGGAAUCUACUUUUUCGUGGGGGAUAACGUAGGGAAACUUACGCUAAUACCGCAUACGACCUACGGGUGAAAGCAGGGGAUCUUCGGACCUUGCGCGAUUGAAUGAGCCGAUGUCGGAUUAGCUAGUUGGCGGGGUAAAGGCCCACCAAGGCGACGAUCCGUAGCUGGUCUGAGAGGAUGAUCGGCCACACUGGAACUGGGACACGGUCCAGACUCCUACGGGAGGCAGCAGUGGGGAAUAUUGGACAAUGGGCGCAAGCCUGAUCCAGCCAUACCGCGUGGGUGAAGAAGGCCUUCGGGUUGUAAAGCCCUUUUGUUGGGAAAGAACAGCAGCAGGUUAAUACCCCGCUGUUCUGACGGUACCCAAAGAAUAAGCACCGGCUAACUUCGUG
Molecule: ribosomal RNA, 492 nt
Filed under: uncultured bacterium
Lineage: Bacteria
Description: partial 16S ribosomal RNA
Rfam family: Bacterial small subunit ribosomal RNA
Source: RNAcentral